UACGAUUAAGAGUGUAUUAUGACAAGGGAUAAGAAUUUAAAAAUGAAAAAUCUUGUGUCCUUUAAAUAAGAAGUAAAUAUAAUUCUCUAAUUCCUAAAAAGUUAUUAUUUAUUAAGUUUGACCUUACGAAAGCAUAAAAAUUCCAAACAAUAUUUUACUAUCCUUCGCUGCAAGUUGCAAUUUUUAUAUAAUAAAAAUAUAUACAUUAUCCAAAUACACAAACAAUUCACAUCAAAUUAAAUGGACAAAACAUCUCAACCCAACUUAGCUAUAUGAGCUAAAUAUUUAUCUAAAAAAAAAAGGUUCUAAAAAUAUCAUAAUGAAUUGAGCCCCCCUCCCAAAAAAAAGUAUAUUAAUAUGGGAUACAUUUCCCUUCCCAUUUUAUCUUUUCAUGAGUUUUAAUUGGGACUUGCACUAAUGACUUGAAUUAUCUAUCUCGUAAGUUUUAUAAUGAAAGUUAUUCAUAUAAAAAAUUAGUUUCAUCAGACAAUUAUAAAUAUGAUAACAAGUCACAUUUUAUUUUAUAAAAUAGAUGGUUUAAAUUUAAUUAUAUUUUCAAUUUAUUUUAUAAAAUAAAAUGCGAUUUAUUAUUGUAUUUACAAUUUUUUGAUAAAGUUGAUUUUUUGAAUAAAUGACCUUCAUUGCCAGGCUUACGAGAUAUACGAUUCGGAUCAUCAGUGUGGGCACCAAUUAAAACUCAUAAAAAGAGUAUGAAAAGGUAUAAAGAGAUGAGGUAUGGAAAAGGAGCUUAUCCCAAUUAAUAUAGACUCAGCUAACCACCACAAGUGGAUUGUAACUGCCUCAAAUUCAUACACGUGCUCAUCCUCUACACAUCAUCGGCAGGUGGCUUGACCAACUCUUUGAGCUGCUUGAACUGUAACUGUUUGGUUGGUAACUGCUGCUACAGCUCUGUAGACUGCUACAGCUUGACUUGUAACUCUGUGGCUUGUGACUCCUCUAGUUUGAGCUGUGGCUUAACAUGCCCCCUCAAGCUUAGAGGAGGCUGCCAUAACCUCUAAGUUGAAAGAGAUUUGGUGAAAAUAUCGACCAACUGAUUUGAAGUAGAAACAUGAGAGAUAUGGAACCCUUUGUUGUAAAUGAAAAAAAAAAUAUUAUUUCUUUUUUCUUAUUAAGAUCUCUUUUCGGAUU
Long non-coding RNA from Camellia sinensis, 1149 nucleotides. RefSeq lists it as uncharacterized. The record is from RefSeq and is a predicted model, not a curated record. Lineage: Eukaryota; Viridiplantae; Streptophyta; Magnoliopsida; Ericales; Theaceae.